RNAcentral lists this ribosomal RNA (253 nucleotides) under uncultured bacterium. RNAcentral's name for it is "partial 16S ribosomal RNA". It matches the Rfam family "Bacterial small subunit ribosomal RNA", at positions 524 to 776 of the family's 1533-position model. The record is from RNAcentral.
UACGAAGGGGGCUAGCGUUGCUCGGAAUUACUGGGCGUAAAGCGUGCGUAGGCGGCUUCUUAAGUCGGUGGUGAAAUCCUGGAGCUCAACUCCAGAACUGCCUUCGAUACUGGGAAGCUCGAGUCCGGGAGAGGUGAGUGGAACUGCGAGUGUAGAGGUGAAAUUCGUAGAUAUUCGCAAGAACACCAGUGGCGAAGGCGGCUCACUGGCCCGGUACUGACGUUGAGGUGCGAAAGCGUGGGGAGCAAACAGG